ACGCUGGCGGCAGGCCUAACACAUGCAAGUCGAGCGGUAGAGAGAAGCUUGCUUCUCUUGAGAGCGGCGGACGGGUGAGUAAUGCCUAGGAAUCUGCCUGGUAGUGGGGGAUAACGUUCGGAAACGGACGCUAAUACCGCAUACGUCCUACGGGAGAAAGCAGGGGACCUUCGGGCCUUGCGCUAUCAGAUGAGCCUAGGUCGGAUUAGCUAGUUGGUGGGGUAAUGGCUCACCAAGGCGACGAUCCGUAACUGGUCUGAGAGGAUGAUCAGUCACACUGGAACUGAGACACGGUCCAGACUCCUACGGGAGGCAGCAGUGGGGAAUAUUGGACAAUGGGCGAAAGCCUGAUCCAGCCAUGCCGCGUGUGUGAAGAAGGUCUUCGGAUUGUAAAGCACUUUAAGUUGGGAGGUAGGGCAUUAACCUAAUACGUAACUGUUUUGACGUUACCGACAGAAUAAGCACCGGCUAACUCUGUGCCAGCAGCCGCGGUAAUACAGAGGGUGCAAGCGUUAAUCGGAAUUACUGGGCGUAAAGCGCGCGUAGGUGGUUUGUUAAGUUGGAUGUGAAAUCCCCGGGCUCAACCUGGGAACUGCAUUCAAAACUGACUGACUAGAGUAUGGUAGAGGGUGGUGGAAUUUCCUGUGUAGCGGUGAAAUGCGUAGAUAUAGGAAGGAACACCAGUGGCGAAGGCGACCACCUGGACUGAUACUGACACUGAGGUGCGAAAGCGUGGGGAGCAAAC
Molecule: ribosomal RNA, 745 nt
Filed under: uncultured bacterium
Lineage: Bacteria
Description: bacterial SSU rRNA
Rfam family: Bacterial small subunit ribosomal RNA
Source: RNAcentral